UCUCUCCUCUCACUCCCUGCGCCCUGCGCCUCCUCUCUCUCCCAACGUCUCUCUCUCUCUACUCCCUCGGUUCUGCCGGACUGUAGCCGCCGGAGAUGGCCAGCCACGCCUCCGGCGGAGUCGCCGACAACCUCUCCUCUCCUUCUUCUCCCUUGCUGCCCCUUUCUCGGUCAGCCGCUGCCCAUCUUACGCUCGGCCUUCAUCCGGCGACGAGCUGGUCCCACCAGCCGCCGCCUGCCACCGCCGCCGCCGCCGCUGCAUACACGGCGGUCUCACCGCCGUCGCCACCCACCGUCGAUCGAGAGAGUUGUAGAACCGGAUAGAUCGUGAAAAGAAGAUCGAAAAGAAAUCAAUUUUGUCGUCGCUCGCCGGAAAGUCGCCGGACAGCCGCCGGAGCGUCGUCGACGUCGCCGGGCAGAAUCUUCGGCUUGAGGAUCAUGAUUUGAAGAAAAAGGAUGGCAUCUAAAGAGUGUAGCUUUGGUUCUCCGAGAAGCCAUUAUUCUUCUUUGUAUAAAUAUAGAAACAUGUAGUAUUUUUCUCACUUGUAUAGAAGAGACUCUAUUAUGUAUAAAUAGACAUUCAAUAUAUACUUCUACUAUAAUUGUAUAUGGACAAUUAUUUCAUAA
Molecule: long non-coding RNA, 626 nt
Organism: Salvia hispanica
Lineage: Eukaryota; Viridiplantae; Streptophyta; Magnoliopsida; Lamiales; Lamiaceae
Source: RefSeq, a predicted model, not a curated record